Molecule: ribosomal RNA, 301 nt
Filed under: uncultured bacterium
Lineage: Bacteria
Description: partial 16S ribosomal RNA
Rfam family: Bacterial small subunit ribosomal RNA
Source: RNAcentral
CAGCCGCCGCGGUAAUACAGAGGGUGCGAGCGUUAAUCGGAUUUACUGGGCGUAAAGCGUGCGUAGGCGGCUUUUUAAGUCGGAUGUGAAAUCCCUGAGCUUAACUUAGGAAUUGCAUUCGAUACUGGGAAGCUAGAGUAUGGGAGAGGAUGGUAGAAUUCCAGAUGUAGCGGUGAAAUGCGUAGAGAUCUGGAGGAAUACCGAUGGCGAAGGCAGCCAUCUGGCCUAAUACUGACGCUGAGGUACGAAAGCAUGGGGAGCAAACAGGAUUAGAUACCCCUGUAGUCCCUGUCUCUUAUAC